This 1372-nucleotide ribosomal RNA is filed under the name uncultured bacterium. Its description in RNAcentral is "bacterial SSU rRNA". It matches the Rfam family "Bacterial small subunit ribosomal RNA", at positions 28 to 1381 of the family's 1533-position model. The record is from RNAcentral.
GAUGAACGCUGGCGGCGUGCCUAAUACAUGCAAGUCGAGCGAACGGACGAGAAGCUUGCUUCUCUGAUGUUAGCGGCGGACGGGUGAGUAACACGUGGAUAACCUACCUAUAAGACUGGGAUAACUUCGGGAAACCGGAGCUAAUACCGGAUAAUAUUUUGAACCGCAUGGUUCAAAAGUGAAAGACGGUCUUGCUGUCACUUAUAGAUGGAUCCGCGCUGCAUUAGCUAGUUGGUAAGGUAACGGCUUACCAAGGCAACGAUGCAUAGCCGACCUGAGAGGGUGAUCGGCCACACUGGAACUGAGACACGGUCCAGACUCCUACGGGAGGCAGCAGUAGGGAAUCUUCCGCAAUGGGCGAAAGCCUGACGGAGCAACGCCGCGUGAGUGAUGAAGGUCUUCGGAUCGUAAAACUCUGUUAUUAGGGAAGAACAUAUGUGUAAGUAACUGUGCACACCUUGACGGUACCUAAUCAGAAAGCCACGGCUAACUACGUGCCAGCAGCCGCGGUAAUACGUAGGUGGCAAGCGUUAUCCGGAAUUAUUGGGCGUAGAGCGCGCGUAGGCGGUUUUUUAAGUCUGAUGUGAAAGCCCACGGCUCAACCGUGGAGGGUCAUCGGAAACUGGAAAACUUGAGUGCAGAAGAGGAAAGUGGAAUUCCAUGUGUAGCGGUGAAAUGCGCAGAGAUAUGGAGGAACACCAGUGGCGAAGGCGACUUCCUGGUCUGUAACUGACGCUGAUGUGCGAAAGCGUGGGGAUCAAACAGGAUUAGAUACCCUGGUAGUCCACGCCGUAAACGAUGAGUGCUAAGUGUUAGGGGGUUUCCGCCCCUUAGUGCUGCAGCUAACGCAUUAAGCACUCCGCCUGGGGAGUACGACCGCAAGGUUGAAACUCAAAGGAAUUGACGGGGACCCGCACAAGCGGUGGAGCAUGUGGUUUAAUUCGAAGCAACGCGAAGAACCUUACCAAAUCUUGACAUCCUUUGACAACUCUAGAGAUAGAGCUUUCCCCUUCGGGGGACAAAGUGACAGGUGGUGCAUGGUUGUCGUCAGCUCGUGUCGUGAGAUGUUGGGUUAAGUCCCGCAACGAGCGCAACCCUUAAGCUUAGUUGCCAUCAUUAAGUUGGGCACCCUAAGUUGACUGCCGGUGACAAACCGGAGGAAGGUGGGGAUGACGUCAAAUCAUCAUGCCCCUUAUGAUUUGGGCUACACACGUGCUACAAUGGACAAUACAAAGGGCAGCGAAACCGCGAGGUCAAGCAAAUCCCAUAAAGUUGUUCUCAGUUCGGAUUGUAGUCUGCAACUCGACUACAUGAAGCUGGAAUCGCUAGUAAUCGUAGAUCAGCAUGCUACGGUGAAUACGUUCCCGGGUCU